RNAcentral lists this ribosomal RNA (524 nucleotides) under uncultured bacterium. RNAcentral describes it as "partial 16S ribosomal RNA". It matches the Rfam family "Bacterial small subunit ribosomal RNA", at positions 28 to 523 of the family's 1533-position model. The record is from RNAcentral.
GACAAACGCUGGCGGCGUGCCUAAUACAUGCAAGUCGAACGAAGCUGUUUUAACUGGUGCUUGCACCGACUUAAACAACUGAGUGGCGAACGGGUGAGUAACACGUAGGUAACCUGCCCCAAAGCGGGGGAUAACAUUUGGAAACAGAUGCUAAUACCGCAUAACCACAGAAACCACAUGGUUUCUGUGUCAAAGAUGGUUUCGGCUAUCACUUUGGGAUGGACCCGCGGCGUAUUAGCUAGUUGGUAAGGUAAUGGCUUACCAAGGCAAUGAUACGUAGCCGAACUGAGAGGUUGAUCGGCCACAUUGGGACUGAGACACGGCCCAAACUCCUACGGGAGGCAGCAGUAGGGAAUCUUCCACAAUGGACGAAAGUCUGAUGGAGCAACGCCGCGUGAGUGAAGAAGGUUUUCGGAUCGUAAAACUCUGUUGUCAGAGAAGAACGUGUGCGAGAGUAACUGCUCGUGCAGUGACGGUAUCUGGCCAGAAAGCCACGGCUAACUACGUGCCAGCAGCCGCAGUAA